CAACAUCUUCUUUCUCCCUGUCUCCCUUCUUCCCUCCCUUCCCUUCCCUCCCUUCCUUCCUUGGAAAAGCUCACCGCAACAACAACUCAACUCCCCGUCGAGGUCACCCAGCUCUUGUUCUCUAUACGGCCACGCAAACAUCGAGGACAAACAGAAGAGCUAUAAACAGCCUUGUCUUACCUUCACCUGUCUCAGCGGGAACUUUUACGAAAGGUGCAAAAAAGGAAGAGAAAAACGCCCUCCUUCAGAAAACCACGGUGGAUAGAAAAUUAACUCUCCUUAAGGAAACACAAGAUAUAUAAGAAAUAGACUCUCCUUGAGAAAUACAAAAGAUAGAUAAAACAGCUUGCGAUGACUUACCUUAUUCCUCCGCGUAGAGUCACCAUCGGCAGAGUCGCUGAGGUCAUCUUGGUCAUCACUUACACGAACAACACACGCGAAGAGCGAUCAACAGUUAUUACGAUCACCACUAACACAUCACGGUCAUCACUUUGUCAUCACCGAACAAUAAGCUGAGGUUUUCUUGCUAAACACUAACGCUAAACCCACACGCGAAGGACGGUCAUCAGUCAUCAGGUUCAUCACUGACUCAUGGCAUCACCGGAAAACACACUUGUCACUUGUACUCAUUGUUAAACGCACACGAUAGCCACUUUUUUUUUUUUUUGCAUUAUUAUCUUCCCUAUUUUCAACUAUUUUUCGUUUACUGAUCUCUACUUUUUUUGUUACUUUUCUAACCUUUUUCUUCAACGAUCGCUACUUUUCCUUCUUUUUCAGUUGGUGUGUUUCCUAUUUUUACCCUUGUUUGUUUACUAAUCUUUACUAUUUUUCCUCUUUCUCUUAAUUGCUACCUUGCCUUUUUUAUUACCAACACAGUCAUCACCGAAAAA
Long non-coding RNA from Eriocheir sinensis (Chinese mitten crab), 890 nucleotides. RefSeq lists it as uncharacterized. The transcript has 2 exons. Lineage: Eukaryota; Metazoa; Arthropoda; Malacostraca; Decapoda; Varunidae. The record is from RefSeq and is a predicted model, not a curated record.